UCUUCCCCUCAUACAGCAAGAAGGUGAGACAUGGUUCUGGUGCUGCUAACGUCUUAGUUGAGAGAAAGAGAGAUAUAGACAAGCACUAUAUAUAAUAUUGACUGCUUUUUGUGAAAGGGUCCAUUUGGAAUUUGAUGGUCAUUUUGAGAGAAAGAGGUUGAGAAUCCGUGAGAAACGAGUCUGAGUUGUUUGCUGUUUUGGGUAGAAGGAGCUUGCAUAUUUGUGUGUUUUUGUUUAAGAGGAAGACGAUAAAGACGACAAAGGAAGAAGACGUCGGUGAUUUUUGUAUCUUCUAGGUUGGUCGAGGAGAAUUGAAAGCGUGAAGCGGUGAAGGCAUCGCCAAAAGCUUUGUGAAUGUGAUAUAAUUUGUGUAUUGCACAAGUUAUCUCUCGGAUGAGAGAUCUAUAGUGAGGUUUCUGAAAAAUGGGAUCAUCAGCAUCAGAGGUAUCGAUCAAGGGAAAUCGCAUGGACGGGACGGGGCGAAGCCGCUCCUCUGUUUACAAUAACUAUAACGAGGCUUGGAAUCCUACAGGGUGUCAGAAUGCCCACUCAUCGUCAACUGUCAGAGACUCGGAAGCAGCGCUUUACAAGGAGCUAUGGCAUGCUUGUGCUGGUCCCCUGGUUACAUUGCCCCGUGAACGGGAACGGGUCUUCUAUUUUCCUCAGGGACAUAUUGAGCAAGUGGAGGCGUCCACAAAUCAGGUGGCGGACCAGCAGAUGCCUGUGUACAAUCUUCCAUCGAAAAUCCUUUGUCGAGUGGUCAACGUCCUGUUGAAGGCGGAGCCGGACACCGAUGAGGUGUUUGCCCAGGUAACCUUGCUUCCGGAGCCAAAUCAAGAUGAAAACGCCGUGGAGAAAGAGGCUCCGCCUCCUCCACCACCACGAUUUCAGGUGCAUUCCUUCUGCAAAACUCUGACGGCCUCUGAUACGAGUACUCAUGGUGGAUUUUCAGUGCUGAGACGUCAUGCCGAUGAAUGCCUUCCUCCGCUGGAUAUGUCGAAGCAGCCACCUAACCAGGAGUUGGUGGCGAAGGAUCUACACGGUAACGAGUGGAGAUUCAGGCAUAUUUUUAGAGGUUAUCCACGUAGACAUUUACUGCAAAGUGGUUGGAGUAUUUUUGUUAGCUCUAAGAGGCUUCUUGCUGGUGAUGCAUUUAUAUUUUUGAGGGGUGAGAAUGGGGAACUUCGUGUUGGUGUAAGGCGUGCAAUGAGACAGCAGGGUAAUGUUCCGUCCUCAGUGAUCUCUUGUCACAGCAUGCAUCUUGGUGUCCUUGCAACUGCCUGGCAUGCGGUUACGACUGGGACCAUGUUCACUGUGUAUUACAAGCCCAGGACCAGUCCUGCUGGAUUUAUUGUUCCAUAUGAUCAGUAUAUGGAGUCUCUGAAAAAUAAUUAUACAAUAGGAAUGCGGUUCAAAAUGAGGUUUGAAGGUGAAGAGGCUCCAGAGCAGAGGUUUACUGGUACUGUUAUUGGACUUGAAGAUGCUGAUCCACAAAGGUGGCCAAAAUCCAAAUGGAGAUGCCUCAAGGUGAGAUGGGAUGAAACGUCUAGCAUUCCUCGUCCUGAGAGAGUUUCCCCUUGGAAAAUAGAGCCUGCUCAUGCUCCUCCAGCUCUAAAUCCUCUUACACUGACCAGGCCUAAAAGGCCUCGCUCUAAUGCGGUUCCAUUAUCACCUGAUUCCUCGGUUCUUAAUCGUGAAGUGUCAUCUAAGGUAAGUAUGGACCCUUUGCCGGCUAGUGGAUUUCCAAGGGUAUUGCAAGGUCAAGAAUUCUCGACAUUGAGACGCAAUUUGGCGGAAAGCAAUGAAUCUGAUGCUGCGGGAAAACCUGAUGAAAAAAAUGAUGCAAUGUCUAUUUCAAGUACGUUUGCUCCAGAGAGCUGGACAUCAAUAGGGAGGCAUGAGCCUACAUAUUCAGAUUUGCUUUCAGGCUUUGGGACGAGUAGAGAUCGAACUCGUCUAUCCUUGGUACAUCAAACUAGCCCUGUGGCUGGUCCUGGAAGAAAACAUGUAUUAGGUCACGAAGGGAAGUUUAAUGUGGUAGCCUGCCCAAGGUCUAUAAUGCCUUCUAGUAUAUCAUUAAACCUCUCAGACCCUAACAUGAAAGGUUCUGCACAAGACAGUGAUGUAACUCACCAUUCUAGGCGGAAUGUGGGGUAUGAUGCAUUUGGAGGUUACCCCGUGUUUCAUGGUCACAAAGAAGAGCGUAGUCAUGGAAGCUUGUUGAUGCCCCCACCUCCACCUCCAACUCAGCAUGAUAGUCCUGAUUCAAGAGACCUCAUGCAAAAACCAAUGCCAGCAAGAUCAUUUGAGACUGUUAAAGCUAAAGAAGGGGACUGUAAGCUAUUUGGCAUCUCACUUAUCAGCAGCCCAAGUACACCAGAGCCUUCAAAAAUAAAUGUGGCAUGCAAACCGGCUAGUCACAAGCAUCUCACGUCACAACGGCCUUGUACCAAAGAAAGUGAUUUGAAAUCAGAACAACCAAGUGGAUCAAAGCUGCCAGAUGCUGCAGUUGACACUGAUGACCAUGAAAAGCCAUCACAAACAUUUCAGCCACGUGUGAAAGGUGUUCAAGCCAAACCACGCAGUGAUUCUGCUAGGAGUUGCACUAAAGUUCACAAGAAGGGGAUUGCGCUUGGUAGGUCAGUUGACCUUACAAAGUUCAGCAACUAUGAUGAGCUAAUUGUUGAAUUAGAUGAACUGUUUGAAUUUGGAGGGGAAUUAAGGUCUUUGAAAAAGGAUUGGCUUAUUGUCUACACCGACAAUGAGGGUGACAUGAUGCUUGUGGGGGAUGAUCCGUGGCCGGAGUUUUGUGCCAUGGUUCGUAAAAUAUGUAUCUACCCCAAAGAGGAAAUUCAGAAAAUGAACCCGGGAACAAUAAGGUUUGGGGGUGAGGAGAGUCUGUCGGCUAGCGAAGGCAUGGAUGCUAAAGAAGUAUAAUUUCAUCUUCGUGAUGAUUCAAUUUGAUACCAUAGCAUCCAGCUCCGCUUUAGAGAAGCAGGAUGUUCUAUAAGGCUUCCAGUUGGGAAUUAUGACGAAGACAAAUUUUGAUUCCUAACUGCUGAUGAAGUGACUCGAAGCAUAACAUGGCUGGUACGCGUCAGCGUCUAUACAAUUUUGGACCUACCCCGGAACAAGAGGCAUAUGUUAUGGCGUGGGGUCAAGCGAUGAAGCCCGUGUCUCCAAACUCCAUCUUCCAGGGUAAUUAUUAGCAGAAAUAAGCACUUGAUCGACGCUGGAAUGGCUGGCAGUGGACCUCGUUAUUGCUUGAGGUGAGUCAUUUCUGGCGGCCACGUUCUGCCCCUUGCUUCGAAUGGAAGAUAACAAAAGGAUGGAGGGAGAGUAACAGAAGAUGACUGAAUAAAAUCCUCGCGCGUGGUAUAGAUCUUGUAUCAGGCAUUGCAUCUUUAGGACGAGUCAGCAUCCCGUCAAAACUCUGUUUACUAGCACUGAUAGAAUCCAUCAGAAUUUUCCAAACAGUGAAAGUGAACUGGGGUUAAAGAGCACCAUUGAUGGCACAUUUGAAUCGUGGGCAUGAUAAUCUGAAUACAAUUUGAAGAUGAGAUGGACAACGUAGAACCAGAAACAAAUUUGUAAUAGCAUAUAGGUAAAGUAAAUUGUGCUGUCUAUGAUUUAUAAAUUAUAAGUAGUAUUCUUUUUGUUCUUAA
Neltuma alba is the source of this 3665-nucleotide RNA transcript. It is a transcript of the gene named auxin response factor 2A, with no coding region annotated. NCBI's taxonomy places the organism in Eukaryota, Viridiplantae, Streptophyta, Magnoliopsida, Fabales, Fabaceae. The record is from RefSeq and is a predicted model, not a curated record. The transcript is spliced from 16 exons.